AAUUGAAGAGUUUGAUCAUGGCUCAGAUUGAACGCUGGCGGCAGGCCUAACACAUGCAAGUCGAACGGUAACAGGAAGAAGCUUGCUCUUUGCUGACGAGUGGCGGACGGGUGAGUAAUGUCUGGGAACUGCCUGAUGGAGGGGGAACCGCAUAACGUCGCAAGACCAAAGAGGGGGACCUUCGGGCCUCUUGCCAUCGGAUGUGCCCAGAUGG
Molecule: ribosomal RNA, 214 nt
Filed under: uncultured Escherichia sp.
Lineage: Bacteria; Pseudomonadati; Pseudomonadota; Gammaproteobacteria; Enterobacterales; Enterobacteriaceae
Description: partial 16S ribosomal RNA
Rfam family: Bacterial small subunit ribosomal RNA
Source: RNAcentral